UACGGAGGGUGCAAGCGUUAUCCGGAUUCACUGGGUUUAAAGGGCGCGUAGGCGGGGAGGUAAGUCGGGUGUGAAAUCCCUCGGCUCAACCGAGGAACUGCGCCCGAGACUGCCUUUCUUGAGUCCCGGAGAGGAAGGUGGAAUUCCCGGUGUAGCGGUGAAAUGUGUAGAGAUCGGGAGGAACACCGGUGGCGAAGGCGGCCUUCUGGACGGUGACUGACGCUGAGGCGCGAAAGCGUGGGGAGCAAACGGG
Molecule: ribosomal RNA, 253 nt
Filed under: uncultured bacterium
Lineage: Bacteria
Description: partial 16S ribosomal RNA
Rfam family: Bacterial small subunit ribosomal RNA
Source: RNAcentral